RNAcentral lists this ribosomal RNA (389 nucleotides) under uncultured bacterium. RNAcentral's name for it is "bacterial SSU rRNA". It matches the Rfam family "Bacterial small subunit ribosomal RNA", at positions 350 to 751 of the family's 1533-position model. The record is from RNAcentral.
AGCAGUGGGGAAUUUUCCGCAAUGGGCGAAAGCCUGACGGAGCAAUGCCGCGUGAAGGCAGAAGGCCCACGGGUCAUGAACUUCUUUUCUCGGAGAAGAAAAAAUGACGGUAUCUGAGGAAUAAGCAUCGGCUAACUCUGUGCCAGCAGCCGCGGUAAGACAGAGGAUGCAAGCGUUAUCCGGAAUGAUUGGGCGUAAAGCGUCUGUAGGUGGCUUUUCAAGUCCGCCGUCAAAUCCCAGGGCUCAACCCUGGACAGGCGGUGGAAACUACCAAGCUGGAGUACGGUAGGGGCAGAGGGAAUAUUCCGGUGGAGCGGUGAAAUGCGUUGAGAUCGGAAAGAACACCCAACGGCGAAAGCACUCUGGCUGGGCCGACACUGACACUGAGA